CGAGCCGGCCGGAUGGUCGCGGCGGAAGCUCCGCUGAGGAAAGUCCGGGCUCCGCAGGGCAGGGUAGCGGGUAACUCCCGUCCGCCGUGAGGCGAGGACGAGCGCCACAGUGACGAACCACCGCGAGGUGGGUGAAACGCGGCAAGCUCUACCCGGAGAAAGGCCGAAUAGGGGGACCAUGGCGUGGCCCGCGCCGUCCCCGGGUUGGCCGCUGGAGGCGGAGGGUGACCUCCGAUCCCGAGAUGGAUGACCAUCGAAACAGGACCCGGCUUAUGGGCCGGCUCGGCAG
This 289-nucleotide RNase P RNA is filed under the name Chloroflexota bacterium. RNAcentral's name for it is "RNase P RNA component class A". It matches the Rfam family "Bacterial RNase P class A". Rfam says of the family: Ribonuclease P (RNase P) is a ubiquitous endoribonuclease, found in archaea, bacteria and eukarya as well as chloroplasts and mitochondria. Lineage: Bacteria; Bacillati; Chloroflexota. The record is from RNAcentral.